This is a long non-coding RNA of Homo sapiens (human), 1322 nucleotides long. Ensembl annotates it as long intergenic non-protein coding RNA 534. The record is from Ensembl. NCBI's taxonomy places the organism in Eukaryota, Metazoa, Chordata, Mammalia, Primates, Hominidae.
AGUGUGGCUAUGACUUGGAGCUGCUCACCAGUUCCAGUCAUUCUGUGGUUGAGAGCUGCUCCCUAUGGAUGUUAAUUCUUCUCUAUUUUAGAUUUUCCACAGGUGUGGGCCCCAUUAGCUCUGGCCACCUGAGAAAGCCCUCAGGCAAAGAGUCGCAGGUGAAAGCCAGCAGUUAGAGGUUCACAGAAAUGAGUGCAGAAGCAUCUUCAGUUGGAGAGCCAUUGCCUCUUGCUGUGAAAUAUUUGGGAAUCUUCAGAAACCAUGAAGAAUAACCUGCUAAAGGUAAUAAUCAUACAGAAUUAGAUUCUGAUGCUUGCUUGGGAAGGUGUAUGGUGGUUUCUCCCACCAAAGUAAAAAUGUCUUCUUAUCUGGAAAACUGCAGUGACUCUCCACCCCUCUGCCCUGGUCCUUUCCAUUGUUAGACUAUUUCCUGCUGUACUGAAUUGAAUCUUCCUUUUAUCAAUUAUUUCCCUUUAGAUUGAUGAGUGAAAAUCCAUCUUAAGAUGGAUUAAAGUACUGCUUUCCAAAAGUUGAAGAUAACUCUCAUGUCAACUUAUCCAGAGGAAAACAUUUACAUAGUUCUAUAUUCUUCAGACUCUUCUAUGGCUUUUUCAUAGUAUCAACAUAGGUAAACUCAUUAGUCUGUUGUGAAAGAAACAAAAGAUGCCUACUCUAGGUAAUGGGCUAGGUACUUACAAACACAUAUUUUCAUUUUAUUUUUAUAGUAAUCUGAGGAAGAUGUGAUCAAUCAGUAGUCCGAAUGGUAAGGUUAAGUAAGUUGCUCCAACCAGACUAGUGAGUGGCUGAGCUGGUAUUCCCAAGCAGAGCCUUUGACUUCAUCUUCAGGUGUCUCCACUUCUCCAUUGCUACCGUAAGAGUGACUGGCCACCUAUGAGAUACUAAUUAAAGGAUUGGCAUUUACAGCAGCAGUGCUCAGACUUGAGUGGGUGGCCGAGUCACCUGCGGGGGGCAUGUUGAAACACAGAUUUCUGCAUCCUACUCCAGAGUUUCAGAUUCAGCAUGUCUGGGAUGAGGCCCAAGAAUGUGCAUUUCUACACAUCUCCAGAUGGUGCUAAUGCUGAUGUCUGGAGACCACAUUUCGAGAAUCACUGAUUUAGAGUUCCUCAGCAUUUGUCUGCAGGACCCUGUAAUCAGAUCAAUACCCUUGAUUAACAGGAAAACAAUAGAAAGCACUGCCUUUCCCAGGAAGCCUACUCUCAUGUAGUAAGGCCUCUUCUGCCCCCUACACCAUCCUCCAACUUCCCUGUUUUCACACUCUCACAAGCCAUCACCCUUUUAAUUCUAUAAUCAACUGAGCCUAU